UUCUUGAUAGUCCAGUGGUUAGGACUCUGUUCUUCCAUUACAGGAGCCACGGGCUCGAUCCCUGGUUGGGGAA
Molecule: non-coding RNA, 73 nt
Organism: Bos taurus (domestic cattle)
Lineage: Eukaryota; Metazoa; Chordata; Mammalia; Artiodactyla; Bovidae
Source: Rfam